This is an RNA transcript of Rhea pennata, 2185 nucleotides long. It is a transcript of the gene named uroporphyrinogen III synthase, with no coding region annotated. The transcript has 11 exons. NCBI's taxonomy places the organism in Eukaryota, Metazoa, Chordata, Aves, Rheiformes, Rheidae. The record is from RefSeq and is a predicted model, not a curated record.
UCGGCGCCGGAAGGCCGCGGCGGCCCCGCACAGGCGCGGUGCCCGCGCGGCGGCGGCCCUGGGCGCAGGGUUCUUCCGCAGUUCUUAGGUAAACAAUGAGGGUUCUGUUAUUGAAGGAUCCCAAAGACAAAGAUUCAGGACCAGAUCCAUAUAUUAAAGAGUUAGGAUUAUAUGGAUUUGAAGCAACUUUGAUUCCUGUUUUGUCAUUUGAAUUCAUAUCGCUUGAAAGCUUAUUUGAAAAGCUUUCUCAUCCAGAAUGUUAUGGAGGCCUAGUUUUUACCAGCCCAAGAGCAUUAGAAGCCAUCAAGAUAUGUUUAAAAGAGAACAGUAAAAGUGAAGCCUGGUCCAAAUCUCUUAAACAAAGAUGGAAAGCCAAAAAAGCAUAUGUGGUAGGAAAAGCUACAGCUUCUUUAGUGGAAGAAAUUGGCCUUGCUCCACAAGGAGAAAAGUCUGGAAAUGCUGAAAAAUUAGCUGAAUUUAUUUGCUCAAGAGAGAAACCUAAUUCAUCAUCUCUUCUUUUUCCUUGUGGAGCCCUCAAAAGAGAAGUACUUCCUACAGUACUUAAAGAAAAAGGUAUACCUCUGGAAAGUCUUACUGUUUAUCAGACUACCCAACACGCUGAUCUCCAAGAAUCACUGAGCAGUUAUUUCUCACAACAGGGAAUUCCAGCAAGCAUCGUGUUUUUCAGUCCGUCUGGUGUCAAGUUUUGCCUCCAGCACAUUCAGAAGCUUUCUGGGGAUUCUAUCAGCCACAUGAAGUUUGCUGCUAUAGGUCCAACAACUGCUGAAGCAAUGGAAGCAGCAGGAGUCACAGUUAGCUGUAUUGCAGAGAAUCCAACUCCCCAAGACCUCGCUGCUGGGAUACAAAGAGCACUUCACCAACAGAACUGCUGUUAAUCCAAAUAGGAGCACAGCAUGUAUUUGAGACUGAAUAUAAUGCUGUAAAAGCUUUUUUCAUUUGCAGAUAUGCUGUCCUGCUGGAAAGUAUGUUCCACAAAUACGCAGCACAGUUCUUGUGAGGGCUUGGUGUAAGCAGCUUGCAGUUAAAUGCUUAAGAGGAGCAGCAUGUCUUUUUGGUACAGCGUAUCUUAAAGCAACUAGCUUUUCCCCUUUUGCUAAUGCCUGCGAGUGUAAAUACUUUACGUGGGUAUUUCUGUGAAAACUAGUUGUGAAAGGCUGAUGUGCAUCAGGGUAGUAUGAUGAAAUUAAGUCCAAUAUAUCACCUCAGGUACCUAGUACAUAAAGUGAGAUUUUUUUUUUUAAUCUUUCAGUAGUCCUUUUUGCAUGCAGGUCUUCUGGUUUAUGUAAAAGAAUACCACACUUGGAAGGAAAUAUUUGUGGUUGCAAAGCUUAAUUGUUCUGUUAUGUUUUUCAGAUAUUUAUAUUAUAAUGAUGAUCAUAGAUUCGCAGUGGAAUAGGAUAAUUCUUGCAGCACUUGACUUACAGAGUGGUUCAACUCCUUGAGCUGAAAUAGAAUUUCAGAAGUAUACUAAGGGCUGGCAGAUCUGCUCCCUCCCCCUCCCUGCUGUGCUGAAAUGCCUCACAAGGAGCAGUCCUAAAGUUGCUCUAAAAAAUAAUGGAUUUUUUAAUCAGUUGAAAAAGAAAAGUCAGUCCUCUAAGACACUAGAAUUACUAUGGCAACCGGAUGUAGCUGCAGGACUCUGAAGACAUGUCCCCAGGGAGAGAAGGAAGAGAAUGAUUAGGAAGCAAUUGCUGACCUCUGUCACUUUGUUUUUAAGACAACUGCACAUGCAGCAAGUCAAGCAGUUUAACAUUCAGAUUGAAUUGGGUAGUGUCAUUCUAACAAAGAACAUGCAAUGUUGUUCAUCUCUUUAUUCGAAAAAGAAUCUACAGCAGAUUGAGAUUUGGAAAUGUCUUCAAGUCCCCUGAAGUACCACUCAUAUCUCUAGAGUCUGAAAUACAUGACAGCUUGGAGAAGAUUUGUGAAAGCUAGUGCCUGGGGGCAGGAGAAGAAAGGGAGAGAGGGUCAAGGGGCGACAAGAGCAAGAACUGGAAACAGAAGCCGUUCGUAUUUACUUGUGCUCCCUUGCACUAGUUAAGUAUUCAAACAAACAAAGAAAAAGAAUGUAUCAAGAGGAACAAGUGGAAACCAUUAUACCACCAGAACAUCCUUUUACCAAUAAAGUUCAUUCUUAUCAGGGACGUGUUUUAAGAUAGAUGGCAAA